Molecule: ribosomal RNA, 874 nt
Filed under: Geotrichum candidum
Lineage: Eukaryota; Fungi; Ascomycota; Dipodascomycetes; Dipodascales; Dipodascaceae
Description: LSU rRNA
Rfam family: Eukaryotic large subunit ribosomal RNA (bases 128-874)
Source: RNAcentral
GUUUUUGAACGCACAUUGCACUUUGGGGUAUCCCCCAAAGUAUACUUGUUUGAGCGUUGUUUCUCUCUUGGAAUUGCAUUGCUUUUCUAAAAUAAUGAAUCAAAUUCGUUUGAAAAACAACACUAUUCAACCUCAGAUCAAGUAGGAUUACCCGCUGAACUUAAGCAUAUCAAUAAGCGGAGGAAAAGAAACCAACAGGGAUUGCCUUAGUAACGGCGAGUGAAGCGGCAAAAGCUCAAAUUUGAAAUCGGCCUCCAGGUCGAGUUGUAAUUUGUAGAUUGUAUUUUGAGAGCGGAUUAAAGUCUGUUGGAACACAGCGCCUUAGAGGGUGACAGCCCCGUAAAAUCUAUUCUCAUUGUAAGAUACUUUCGAAGAGUCGAGUUGUUUGGGAAUGCAGCUCUAAGUGGGAGGUAAAUUCCUUCUAAAGCUAAAUAUUGACGAGAGACCGAUAGCGAACAAGUACUGUGAAGGAAAGAUGAAAAGCACUUUGAAAAGAGAGUGAAAAAGUACGUGAAAUUGUUAAAAGGGAAGGGUAUUGAAUCAGACUUGGUGCUGUUGUUCAACUGUGUUUCGGCAUAGUGUACUCAGCAGUACUAGGCCAAGGUGGGGUGUUUGGGAGUGAAAAAGAAGUAGGAACGUAACUCUUCGGAGUGUUAUAGCCUACUUUCAUAGCUCCUUAGGCGCCUCAGGACUGCGCUUCGGCAAGGACCUUGGCAUAAUGAUUCUAUACCGCCCGUCUUGAAACACGGACCAAGGAGUCUAACGUCUAUGCGAGUGUUUGGGUGUAAAACCCGUACGCGUAAUGAAAGUGAACGUAGAUAGGAGCAGUAAUGCGCACUAUCGACCGAUCCUGAAGUUUUCAGAUGGAUUUGAG